RNAcentral lists this transfer RNA (72 nucleotides) under Stegodyphus mimosarum. It matches the Rfam family "tRNA". From Rfam's summary of the family: Transfer RNA (tRNA) molecules are approximately 80 nucleotides in length. Their secondary structure includes four short double-helical elements and three loops (D, anti-codon, and T loops). The record is from Rfam by way of RNAcentral. Lineage: Eukaryota; Metazoa; Arthropoda; Arachnida; Araneae; Eresidae.
GCCUUGGUGGUGUAAUGAUCAGCACACUUGAUUGCAUUCGAGAGGUCUGAGGUUCGAGUCCCAGUGAGGGCA